AUUGAACGCUGGCGGAAUGCUUUACACAUGCAAGUCGAACGGUAGAGGGGGCAACCCCUCGAGAGUGGCGAACGGGUGAGUAAUAUAUCGGAACGUGCCCAGUCGUGGGGGAUAACGUAGCGGAAGUUACGCUAAUACCGCAUACGAUCUAAGGAUGAAAGCGGGGGAUCGCAAGACCUCGCGCGUUUGGAGCGGCCGAUAUCAGAUUAGGUAGUUGGUGGGGGAAAGGCUCACCAAGCCAACGAUCUGUAGCUGGUCUGAGAGGACGACCAGCCACACUGGAAGUGAGACACGGUCCAGACUCCUACGGGAGGCAGCAGUGGGAAAUUUUGGACAAUGGGCGCAAGUCUGAUCCAGCCAUUCCCCGUGCAGGAUGAAGGCCCUCGGGUUGUAAACUGCUUUUGUACGGAACGAAAAGGUCUCUCUUAAUACGGGGGGCUCACGACGGUACUGUAAGAAUAAGCACCGGCUAACUACGUGCCAGCCGCCGCGGUAA
RNAcentral lists this ribosomal RNA (496 nucleotides) under uncultured bacterium. Its description in RNAcentral is "partial 16S ribosomal RNA". It matches the Rfam family "Bacterial small subunit ribosomal RNA", at positions 30 to 523 of the family's 1533-position model. The record is from RNAcentral.